Molecule: ribosomal RNA, 462 nt
Filed under: uncultured bacterium
Lineage: Bacteria
Description: partial 16S ribosomal RNA
Rfam family: Bacterial small subunit ribosomal RNA
Source: RNAcentral
GACGAACGCUGGCGGCGUGCUUAACACAUGCAAGUCGAACGGUAAGGCCCUUCGGGGUACCCGAGUGGCGAACGGGUGAGUAACACGUGGGUGAUCUGCCCUGCACUUUGGGAUAAGCCUGGGAAACUGGGUCUAAUACCGAAUAUGACUACAGGCUGCAUGGCCUGUGGUGGAAAGCUUUUGCGGUGUGGGAUGGGCCCGCGGCCUACGAGCUUGUUGGUGGGGUGAUGGCCUACCAAGGCGACGACGGGUAGCCGGCCGGAGAGGGUGACCGGCCACACUGGUCCUGAGAUACGGCCCAGACUCCUACGGGAGGCAGCAGUGGGGAAUAUUGCACAAUGGGCGCAAGCCUGAUGCAGCGACGCCGCGUGUGGGACGACGGCCUUCGGGUUGUAAACCUCUUUCAGCACAGACGAAGCGGAAGUGACGGUAUGUGCAGAAGAAGGACCGGCCAACUACGUG